AUUUUGAAUUUGGAGCGUGAAUUGUUUCUCCCGAUCUGCUAAGCCUGUAAAAGGGGAGAUCAUUUGCAUCAAAAUUAUGCUUGAACACUGUGUUCCCAAAGUGGUAUCAUAAACGGAUACAGAUGUUUACCUCCUCUUCCACUUCUUUCUUCUUCUGCUACCUCUUCUCUUCAUUCUAUUAGAUUCUUCAUGCAUUUUCAUUUUCAUCUAAAGAGAAGGAAGUAUGAAAUUGCUUUGCUGAAGGGAUAAUUCGAACUCAAAGAUACAGAAAUUGUGGGAGAGAAGAAAACUCAAGGAGCUAGGUUACUAACGUAGUGGCAACCAAGCUGAGAUCUCUCUAGCUAUCUCUGCCUCCCAUUUUUCUUUGCUCUGCUUCUUUUUCAUGGCUUUUCGUAGCUUACAGAUCCCAAUCUACAUCAAUGUCUUCUAGAAAACCUGAUAACCCUCACUCCGGCGAUGGUGUCAAUCCCUGAUUCAAAUAGAGCAUAAAUAUAAUCAACCUUUUUAUGUACAAGUCUGUUAUACUUAUUGCGGUUCCACAGGUAUUUGGCUCGCAUCCCUUGUUCUUUAGGAAGGUUUUGUUACAAGAAGGGCACCCAAUCGUUGCUGCUGCAAUGCUGUCUGUUGAGGAAGCUUUGAAAAUUGUAAGAACUGCUCAAAGAAUUUUUUCCUUCAAAUACCUCUUAUAUUUUCAGUAAUAAACAUAUUUGCUUUAAAAAAAGUAGUUUUGGACGAACAUUUUCACGAUUAUUUGUUGAUAUUUGAGUCAUUGAGAAACAAAGAAAACUUUACUAGACUAGAGGAGCCUUUCUCUCAUAUUUUUAGUUUCAUUUUGUGGAUCAAUGGCUCAAAUAAUGGGUUUGACAUCUACUUUAGUCCUCAAGGUAGCUUUUUAUGAAAUUUUACA
This is a long non-coding RNA of Glycine soja, 907 nucleotides long. RefSeq lists it as uncharacterized. The record is from RefSeq and is a predicted model, not a curated record. NCBI's taxonomy places the organism in Eukaryota, Viridiplantae, Streptophyta, Magnoliopsida, Fabales, Fabaceae. The transcript has 3 exons.